Molecule: long non-coding RNA, 183 nt
Organism: Erpetoichthys calabaricus (reedfish)
Lineage: Eukaryota; Metazoa; Chordata; Cladistia; Polypteriformes; Polypteridae
Exons: 2
Source: RefSeq, a predicted model, not a curated record
AGCGCUGUUUCAGCCGUGGAAUGGACAAAUGGGAGAGGCAGCUUGAUGGAUGAGGUCUCCAGGACUCUAAACAAAUCCAAAUCAUAUUAUGGGAUAUCAUCUACUGUUAAAUUCUGCUCCGUACUUGUAAUAUUUUUAUUUUUAUACUGUAUUGAGGAUUUGUUCUGUUCUGUGUAUUGUAUA